UAGGGAAUAUUGGUCAAUGGAUGCAAGUCUGAACCAGCCAUGCCGCGUGCAGGAAGAAGGCCUUAUGGGUUGUAAACUGCUUUUGCCAGGGGAUAAAAUGAGCAUGCGUGCUUAAUUGAAGGUACCUGGUGAAUAAGCCACGGCUAACUACGUGCCAGCAGCCGCGGUAAUACGUAGGUGGCAAGCGUUGUCCGGAUUUAUUGGGUUUAAAGGGUGCGUAGGCGGUCUUUUAAGUCAGUGCUGAAAUACUCCAGCUUAACUGGAGGGGUGGCAUUGAUACUGGAAGACUCGAGUGUAGUCGAAGUAGGCGGAAUUGACGGUGUAGCGGUGAAAUGCUUAGAUAUCGUCAAGAACACCGAUAGUGAAGACAGCUUACUAGGCUACAACUGACGCUGAGGCACGAAAGUGUGGGGAUCAAA
This 419-nucleotide ribosomal RNA is filed under the name uncultured bacterium. Its description in RNAcentral is "bacterial SSU rRNA". It matches the Rfam family "Bacterial small subunit ribosomal RNA", at positions 355 to 772 of the family's 1533-position model. The record is from RNAcentral.